Molecule: unclassified non-coding RNA, 174 nt
Filed under: uncultured Sebacina
Lineage: Eukaryota; Fungi; Basidiomycota; Agaricomycetes; Sebacinales; Sebacinaceae
Description: sequence contains ITS1
Source: RNAcentral
AUGAUUGCGAAUGGUUACCUUCGGUGCUGGCUCGUAAGAGCAAGUGCACGUUGGUGGCUUUCAUCCAAUACCCUUGUGAACCUUUGGCCUCUUGCUGGCUUCGGCUGGCAGAGGAUUUUUAUACACACACUCGAAUGUAAUGAAAACCUAUUGUCGUGCGCAAGCACUAAUGUA